AGUCCUUUGGCAAAAUGAAGUAUGUGGUGAUGUAAUUAGAGUGUUCUCAGAUCAGUUCUUUGAUACCACAGCAGUGUCUGGGAGAAGCAACUGCAAGGAGAACCAGCACAGUGUUGUGGGAUCACAUCAUUUUGGAACCCUGGGAUGACCAGCAACAGUUUCAGAACUUUUGAAUGAGGAAACAGACCUUCAUGGAGCGCAAUAUCGCUCCAGUGAAUAGGAAGGAGAUCAUCCAACAUGGUGGCAGACUCUGAAUUUCAGAACUCAAGCAAGGCUUGGCAAUUAGACUUCAAUCAGAGCUAUUAGGUAUUCCACAGACAAAACAUGGAGGCAGUCUUGCACUUGAAGAUUCUCCCAACAGUAUGUUAUGAACAAUGCAUUAUUUGCUAACAAAUGAAAAAGGACACCAUUUUUGCUUCCAGUUAACAAGGACUGGCUACAACACAAGACAGAAACAGGGAUUUCCAAAAUAUGAAUGCAAUCGAUAAAAGAAUUC
This is a long non-coding RNA of Mauremys mutica (yellowpond turtle), 496 nucleotides long. RefSeq lists it as uncharacterized. The record is from RefSeq and is a predicted model, not a curated record. NCBI's taxonomy places the organism in Eukaryota, Metazoa, Chordata, Testudines, Geoemydidae. The transcript is spliced from 4 exons.